This 497-nucleotide ribosomal RNA is filed under the name uncultured bacterium. Its description in RNAcentral is "partial 16S ribosomal RNA". It matches the Rfam family "Bacterial small subunit ribosomal RNA", at positions 28 to 507 of the family's 1533-position model. The record is from RNAcentral.
GAUGAACGCUGGCGGCGUGCCUAAUACAUGCAAGUCGAGCGAACGGACGAGAAGCUUGCUUCUCUGAUGUUAGCGGCGGACGGGUGAGUAACACGUGGAUAACCUACCUAUAAGACUGGGAUAACUUCGGGAAACCGGAGCUAAUACCGGAUAAUAUUUUGAACCGCAUGGUUCAAAAGUGAAAGACGGUCUUGCUGUCACUUAUAGAUGGAUCCGCGCUGCAAUAGCUAGUUGGUAAGGUAACGGCUUACCAAGGCAACGAUGCAUAGCCGACCUGAGAGGGUGAUCGGCCACACUGGAACUGAGACACGGUCCAGACUCCUACGGGAGGCAGCAGUAGGGAAUCUUCCGCAAUGGGCGAAAGCCUGACGGAGCAACGCCGCGUGAGUGAUGAAGGUCUUCGGAUCGUAAAACUCUGUUAUUAGGGAAGAACAUAUGUGUAAGUAACUGUGCACAUCUUGACGGUACCUAAUCAGAAAGCCACGGCUAACUACGUG